CACCGAAGCCUGCGGCAKUUMMGCUGUUAGGCAAUGUGGUGUUUGGGUCGGCUCGUGGGAUUGCCACUCCAUUCGAAGUCCAGCAUUGAGUAUGGUCACUGGAUUUGGCCCAGAGAGGGUGAAAGGCCCGUACGAAUGGAGUCAGACAAGUAAGGCAGUUCACCAGGCCGGCCUUAGAGUCGGGUUGUUUGAGAAUGCAGCCCAAAGUGGGUGGUAAACUCCAUCCAAGGCUAAAUACUAGCACGAGUCCGAUAGCGAACAAGUACCGUGAGGGAAAGUUGAAAAGUACUUUGAAGAGAGAGUAAACAGUACGUGAAACCGCAUGCAGGUAAACGGGUGGCGUCAAGCUGCAAGCCCGGAGGAUUCAGCUGGCUAGGAUGUUGUAUAUGCGCCUGGCGCAUCUAUCAGUCGGAGUAGGAUGUGUUAGUCCACUGGGAUACGGUGGGCCCGGCCGCAAGGUUGGGAUAUGUGUACCGGGUGUUUGCCGGAGCAUGCUAUCCAUCUGUUGGACUGUCUAGUCAGUGCACUUUCUCUGUGGUGAACACCACGACCGGUGGUAUUGCCAGUCUGCUGUAGCCAAGUCGUAUUCAGUGGGUUCUAUCAACUGGGUGCGAUCACAGGCAAACUCAGUAAACGGCGUAGGGGUGGCAUUCUGCGUGUUAUCGGCUACUGGUUGUCAACGGGCCUGCCUGAUGUGUUGUAAUCUCGGGUGGUCUGGUGGGUUAUGGUGGUAUGAAUAACUGUGCAAGGCACCGGAGUUCUCGGCCUCAUGCAUCCUGCGCCACAUUACAAGGGGUGCCAUUGUAGCCUGCCUAAUGUUGGGUCUGAUUGUCGUGUCGCCUGCGAAAAGUGGGCCCGGCAGUGGCCUGAUGUGGGAUGGGUUGCGGGGUGCCUCCGUGUAGGUGCUGUUGGCCAAAUAGUCAGUGGUGUAGUGGUAGACGAGCUACCCGACCCGUCUUGAAACACGGACCAAGGAGUUUAACAUGUAUGCAAGUCAAAGGGCCCUACGAAACCCCAAGGCGCAGUGAAAGUAAAGCUUCGACCUGUUCUCGGAGUGAGGUGAGAUCCUGCCGUUACUCGCAUCAGCGUCAGCAUCAGGCUAAGAGCGGUGGGCGCAUCACCGGCCCGUCCCAUGAUGUGGUCAUUGGA
Molecule: ribosomal RNA, 1149 nt
Filed under: Rockacestus sp. n. 6 KJ-2020
Lineage: Eukaryota; Metazoa; Platyhelminthes; Cestoda; Phyllobothriidea
Description: partial large subunit ribosomal RNA
Source: RNAcentral